UUUAAAGUGGCAGAAAUAUAAUGCGUCGGAUUUAAGCUUCGAAGAUGGGAUUUAUAUCCCCUUUAAAA
RNAcentral lists this transfer RNA (68 nucleotides) under Planocera reticulata. RNAcentral describes it as "tRNA-leucine". It matches the Rfam family "tRNA". From Rfam's summary of the family: Transfer RNA (tRNA) molecules are approximately 80 nucleotides in length. Their secondary structure includes four short double-helical elements and three loops (D, anti-codon, and T loops). Further hydrogen bonds mediate the characteristic L-shaped molecular structure. tRNAs have two regions of fundamental functional importance: the anti-codon, which is responsible for specific mRNA codon recognition, and the 3' end, to which the tRNAs corresponding amino acid is attached (by aminoacyl-tRNA synthetases). tRNAs cope with the degeneracy of the genetic code in two manners: having more than one tRNA (with a specific anti-codon) for a particular amino acid; and 'wobble' base-pairing, i.e. permitting non-standard base-pairing at the 3rd anti-codon position. The record is from RNAcentral. Lineage: Eukaryota; Metazoa; Platyhelminthes; Polycladida; Planoceridae.